RNAcentral lists this transfer RNA (25 nucleotides) under Epitheca canis. RNAcentral's name for it is "Tetragoneuria canis partial tRNA-Gly". Lineage: Eukaryota; Metazoa; Arthropoda; Insecta; Odonata; Corduliidae. The record is from RNAcentral.
AAAAAGUCUGAAUAUUUCAGAACAA